AUCAAACGUCACUGCUAUUCCCCGUGAGUUUCAUCCCACUCUUCCAAAUAUGCCCCUUCAAUUAGGUUUUAGUGAUUUCUUUAUGUGGCAGAUGGAUUCAUGAAAUCAAACGUAUAUUGGUUUCAAUCUCAAAUAAAUGGCAUUAAAAGUUAAUUGAUGGUGUCGAUUCGUUUCUUUUUGCCUGGUUGUGUUCUCUGAUUCAAGAAGAAAUAAAACACGCUACCUAUAUCUUUCAUUAAACUUCCAAUUUUCAGUUGCCCUAAUUUCAAGGUUCUGCGUUACCCGCGGCGUUUAUUUGGUUCUGCGUCAAUUUCAUCAACUAUUCUAUCUUCCAAAGCUUGCGUUGGGGCUUAGAGAAUACAGUUUAUCCGACAGAAGUGGGACAUUUUCUACAAAGAUCAUAUUCACAAAAUCAAUGUCCCGGUUCAGGCAAUCGCUGGUGAACAGGAUGCAAUAUGUCCCUCUGAAGCCGUGACAUGACGGAGAAGCCUAUGUUAUAUGAUGCUUGGGAUGUUGCAAACAAGAUUGGAAUAAUCUAAGGAUUUUAUGGCCUUACUAGCUUACAAGGAACUAGAACAAUCACCAGUGUUUCAUCUACUUAGUUUGGAGUAUCCGCAACAUGUCGUUGAACAGAGUGUAGAUCCAUAAAUUGUUCAACAUUGAACUGCAGAUGAUUUAAAGAAUAAAAAUUUGGCUGCCCUCAAUCACAUUAAUAGACUAACCACUUUGUUUCAUUAAUUAAAAAGAGGUUCUUCUGAGUUGCAUUUGCCCAGCUAACAUUUUUUGCAUAAAGAUUUCCUUUCAUAGCUCACCUGCCAUUAAAGGGGAAGUGAAGAUUUGGGUUUGUGACCAUAUGUCUCAAGUUCGAAUCCGAUCCCAACCGGGUUUUACUGCAGUGGGUCUUCUGGCGGCGGGUUUUUCCCGAAACCAGGGAUGGUGGGCCUAGGUUACUCAGUGUUGUCUGCAUCGCAGGCGUAUGUGGUUGUCUUUUGCCAUUGGGUUACCUCGGGUAGUCGUGCCUUUAUUCGUUGGUCGUUAAAAAAGCACUUUCUUGUUGUAAAUUUUUAGUCUUUUGAAGCUUGAAUCUUAAUGUAAGCAACACGAGCUUUACGAGUACUUGUUGAUCAAGUUUACAAAGCAUUAUCAUUUAUUU
Long non-coding RNA from Helianthus annuus (common sunflower), 1153 nucleotides. RefSeq lists it as uncharacterized. The record is from RefSeq and is a predicted model, not a curated record. Lineage: Eukaryota; Viridiplantae; Streptophyta; Magnoliopsida; Asterales; Asteraceae. The transcript has 5 exons.